This 516-nucleotide ribosomal RNA is filed under the name uncultured Streptomyces sp. Its description in RNAcentral is "bacterial SSU rRNA". It matches the Rfam family "Bacterial small subunit ribosomal RNA", at positions 144 to 674 of the family's 1533-position model. The record is from RNAcentral. Lineage: Bacteria; Bacillati; Actinomycetota; Actinomycetes; Kitasatosporales; Streptomycetaceae.
CAAGCCCUGGAAACGGGGUCUAAUACCGGAUAACACUCUGUCCCGCAUGGGACGGGGUUAAAAGCUCCGGCGGUGAAGGAUGAGCCCGCGGCCUAUCAGCUUGUUGGUGGGGUGAUGGCCUACCAAGGCGACGACGGGUAGCCGGCCUGAGAGGGCGACCGGCCACACUGGGACUGAGACACGGCCCAGACUCCUACGGGAGGCAGCAGUGGGGAAUAUUGCACAAUGGGCGAAAGCCUGAUGCAGCGACGCCGCGUGAGGGAUGACGGCCUUCGGGUUGUAAACCUCUUUCAGCAGGGAAGAAGCGAAAGUGACGGUACCUGCAGAAGAAGCGCCGGCUAACUACGUGCCAGCAGCCGCGGUAAUACGUAGGGCGCAAGCGUUGUCCGGAAUUAUUGGGCGUAAAGAGCUCGUAGGCGGCUUGUCACGUCGGAUGUGAAAGCCCGGGGCUUAACCCCGGGUCUGCAUUCGAUACGGGCUAGCUAGAGUGUGGUAGGGGAGAUCGGAAUUCCUGGU